GUCAAUAUCUCAUUGAAAGCAUCAAAGGAAACUGCACAUGUUUUACGGGAACAUCAUCCCGAACUUCUUGGAUUGACAAUUCUAUACAUCUGUAACCGUUUAAGUUUACCGCUAGCAGAUAUUGUCUUAUUUGGGUUUUUCCUCAGGGUUUUAAACGCCUGAUAGGGAGAGGUUGCAAAGCCUUCCCUGGAGACAAAAACAGCCAACAAAGUGAAAUUCGUUUACUCCAAGAGGACACUAGGAGGAUGUGUUUGAUAUGGACCAGCUGGUGCCUGCAUUUGGUGGAAACAAUAAUGCUGGUUUCAACAUAACCAAACAUGCCGAGAUGAUGAAAGAACACAGUAAGCAGAAAAACCUCGAAAACUCUUCUUGUGAAUCCUCAGAGAUUCAAGUUCAACUCAUGAAGGUCUAGUGUUUGAAGAGUGAAGACAGUUCCAUAUCAAAUUAUGCAAUAAUCUCUCAUUCUUCUUGAAAGUGGCUGAAGAAAUCUGUCCAUCAGUAUGUUGUGAGCCGACAGUGAUCUAAACAUGUUUGGUUGUGUUAAUUUUGUUUUUAAGUCAGUAGUUGAUGGAACUCUAAUGAUUUGUGAAAAAGGUGAAACAUUCAACUGA
Long non-coding RNA from Cucurbita maxima (winter squash), 611 nucleotides. RefSeq lists it as uncharacterized. NCBI's taxonomy places the organism in Eukaryota, Viridiplantae, Streptophyta, Magnoliopsida, Cucurbitales, Cucurbitaceae. The record is from RefSeq and is a predicted model, not a curated record. The transcript is spliced from 2 exons.